Molecule: long non-coding RNA, 3000 nt
Organism: Populus trichocarpa (black cottonwood)
Lineage: Eukaryota; Viridiplantae; Streptophyta; Magnoliopsida; Malpighiales; Salicaceae
Exons: 2
Source: RefSeq, a predicted model, not a curated record
CCAUCUAUUGAUUUCGAUUCUAAUACCUUUUGCUACAAUUGCGUUUUCAGAAGAGGUUUGAUUAAAAUAUACAUGGUCUAAAGGAGCUACAAGCCUUCCAAUUAAGUUCUUUUUCGAAGAUGAUCAACAUUGGAGGCUUAUAUGAUUAUUAAUUUUAGAGCUUGAGGGAUUAGUCAAGGUACGCGCAAGCUGACCCAGACACCUAUAUUAAACUAAAAAAAAAUUUCUUUUCCAGAUAAGGCUGAUUAGAAUAUAAAAGGCAUUUUUCACAAGAUGGGUUUGGACCAGAGACCUCGCUGGAAUAUCUCAGCAGCGUCGGCUCCACUUGCAGGCCUAGCUUGCUUCCGGUGGCUGGAUGCAGUAUGAACUCGUAGACAAGUGUAGUUAACAUGUCACCUAUUUCAUUCAUUGUAUUCUUUGAAGGAAAGGCAAUUAGGGGGAGAGGGCGUGCCUUGUUAAUUAGAUUUGGCUUCUGUCAUAAUUAUCUACUAAUGACUAUCCCUUAACGCGUUAAUAUCUAUCUAAUUCCAAGCAAAAAAAACAACAUGGGUCAUGGGAAUCUGUCCUUUGCUCGUAAAGGAAAUUAAGAACAUAUAUACACAGAGCCAAGCCAUCAAAGUCAAGCAAGUUGAGUGACACAGAGACCAGGUCAUUUCAUAGCCUUAUUGUCACGCACUAUGGACCUCUUGAGGGAAGAAUUUGAAUGAUGGUAGCUGCGCAGAGGACUAGAAGAGCAUUUAUUCGUUGGAUUGCACCCGGCAGCUAGCCCUAUGUGCACGCAGCAUUGCCCAGAUCUUUCCCUCUCCCACUCCUAUAUAAACUUCUCUUCACUGUUUUCCCUUCCCACUUAGCUUCACAAAUCACAAACCUCUCUGCAUUUUGAUUUCUCUCUCAAAUUCUCUUCCUUUCAAGCUUCAAAAUGAGGGGAUCUCUCCUUCUUAAUUUCUGCUCGGUCUGUGUCGCAGCCGUUGUGCCUCUCCUCUUUGGCUAUGAACUCAAUAUCUGAAGGAGUGUCGUGGAGAUUUCAACGGACUUUCUCUGGUUUCUCUCUAAGUGUUCGAAACCAAGAUCUUGUGAAAUAGAAGGAAAAUAUGUGGAGACUUGAGGCUUAAAGAUUGAAACUUUUAUUGAUUAUGCUAAGUAUUUGGUUACUGAGAAACGAAGAAUGAACUGGGUUUUUGUUGACUUUUGAUUCUCUGAAGGGAAAUUGAAGAAAUCAAUUAACUAGUAAUUCACCGUACAUGUUUCCUCACCCCUUCACCUUAUUUUGUUUUUGGCUACUUUCAUGUAGGCUGUGUCUUCCUCGCAAGUAGAGAUGAAUGCAAUCUGAUUUCUCCUUUGCAAUACGAACGGUUGAGUUUCUGUUUGUGCUAGCCUGCGAAUAAUGGAAAAUUCCUUGAAGAAAGAUUUACCUUGGUUACUGAUAUUAUUUUGAACCGUCAUGUCAAUUAUUGGUUAUAUAUCGACUGAAAAUGAAAGCUAUUUCACUAUUCUGUGCACACAAUGCUUGAAACAUUAAUCAUGGUUUUUGAAAGUAUUGGAGCAUUGUACACAGAAUAGGUGAAAUAACUUUCAUUUUCAUUCGAUACGCAACUAAAAUUGUAAAUAUAGUUCAGUCUCAUCUUGGAAGCCAAGCUAAUGGAGACUGCUGCAAUUCCUAUGUGACCUGUUCCACUCUAUGAAAAACGGACUGCUUCCAUUUGGGUCUUUCCCAAUUGACAACAUACCUGGUGCAGGAACUUCUGAGUUUUUCCAGGAAAUAAGCCGCUUCACUUGCCCAGUGUACUUGUUAAUUCCAUGCUUUCCACCAGGUAGCAUGUAUCAGUUGGAUUGUCAAAACUCUGCCAAUAAAUGGCAGAUGGAUUUGAGCCAUCUCUUACGACAAUGUAUCUGCUGUACUAGUAUUCGGCAUUGAAGAUGCAAGAGAGCUGUUGACCAAACUGUCUCAGCUGUUAAAGAUUUAUAUACACGCAUUUCCACUUUAAAAAAAUAGGUAAGUGACAUGUUUAAUUUUAAUUGAUUAGUUGAAUGUCAUUAUGAUAAAACUAAUUGAAUAUCAAGCUGCUACAGUGCAUAAAGCAAUCCUGUGCUUUUUUUAUGCCAGCUUGGCUGUAAAUGAAUAGGAAAUUACUUUUUGAAGUGCAUAGAUUUGUACUAUGAAUGCGUUUUUCUUCCUGUUUAUGGAUGCACAGAUACAAGGGGCUUGUUAUGUAGGAUUGUGUGGAGAAAGAAGUCCAGUCCAUUUGUUGAAAAUCAGAUAGAAGGAAGGUAUGGUGUUAUACUGGAAGAGAAUUAAGCAUUUAUAUCAAUUAAAAGCAAUCACAAGAGGCCUUCAAUUGAAUUGCAGAGAUUGCCUUCUUUUUCUGUUACGCAUACAACACAUCAAGUUCGCUUGCAUUGCCAGUAUCUUGGAAUUCCUACAAGAGAGGAUGUGAAACAUGAGGGUGUAUGCUAGUGGGAGGGAAGACCAUACGACAGCCAUGAGCUUCAAGCAGAGAGCUUAUCUCUUGAUCAUCCUGCUACUGGUCAGCCGCUAAUGGUUCGAGCACCUCUGCCUCUGUGGGUCACAUAGAUGGCCUAGCCAUUGUAAACUUGCUUUCACAGUGUUGUAUGCCAUCUUCACACUUUAGCUCCAACAUCUUGUUCUGCCUUCAUAGGGCGGCAUAGUUAACAUCCGGAGCUCUCAUUGUAGAAUUAGCAAGCAUAUCAGGACCUUCUGGCCUGCAGUAUUAACUCUGUUACAUGUAACUGAAUUGUGUUUGGUUGUAAUAAAGUGUAGGAACUAGGGAGGGUCACAAGAAAUCAAAGGUUUUGAACAUUUGUUUGAACCCGCUUGUGGUUUCUUAAUGAAGUAUUAGUCUUAAAUGCACUUGAUUACUAUGUAAUUGUAGUGGAAUGGUAUAAUUAGUAGUAGGUUUGGUAGCAGUUGAAUUCCAGAGUGUAGAUUAUGAUUCAAAGCUGUGAAUGAGAGAGCAUGCCGUGGCAAGUUUAUCUUGAUAA